Molecule: ribosomal RNA, 404 nt
Filed under: uncultured beta proteobacterium
Lineage: Bacteria; Pseudomonadati; Pseudomonadota; Betaproteobacteria
Description: bacterial SSU rRNA
Rfam family: Bacterial small subunit ribosomal RNA
Source: RNAcentral
GAGUUUGAUCCUGGCUCAGAUUGAACGCUGGCGGAAUGCUUUACACAUGCAAGUCGAGCGGCAGCGCGGGGCAACCUGGCGGCGAGCGGCGAACGGGUGAGUAAUGCAUCGGAACAUGUCCAUGUCGUGGGGGAUAGCCCGGCGAAAGCCGGAUUAAUACCGCAUACGCCCGAGAGGGGAAAGUGGGGGACCGCAAGGCCUCACGCGAUUGGGUUGGCCGAUGUCCGAUUAGCUAGUUGGCGGGGUAAUGGCCCACCAAGGCGAUGAUCGGUAGCUGGUCUGAGAGGAUGAUCAGCCACACUGGGACUGAGACACGGCCCAGACUCCUACGGGAGGCAGCAGUGGGGAAUUUUGGACAAUGGGGGCAACCCUGAUCCAGCCAUUCCGCGUGAGUGAAGAAGGCC